UGAAGACUUUACCAUAUAUCUGGGGCAGCUGGGAGAGGUUCGUGUGGCAAGGACUAAGUUGUCAUGCCUGCUUGGUACCCUGAUAGGGUGGAUUGGGUUUUAAGGGUGGUUUGGUUUCUUCUUUUAGUGUGGAUUAAGGAAUCCAGACAUUAUCAAGUUAAAAUCAUCCCACUUCCUCGUCUAGAGUUUCAUGGCACAUCGUGACCUGUUUGAACCGUGUGUCUGUUUCAGUGCUCCACACUGUGACGGUCCGCUGAGAGGUAGCCUGAGAAACUGCUGCUAUACAUAUCUGUUUGUCUGAGGAGUCUGAAGACCUGGAUGCCACCCAACAUCUAGCGAAACAUCUUAUUUUAUGAGGUGUCUGGGAGACCAGUUCUAAUGUGAGGUACAAGUUCCUCUUUGCUUGGUGGUGGUUUCCUUCGGUGUGCAGUGGUCGACAGGUGGGGUUGUGGUGUCGUAUGAGUGCAUGUGUGUUUGCUGUGGAUAGGAAAUCAUUAGAGUAAGGUCCCGAGCCAUGGAGUCCAAGCAUUCUUGUGUGGUAUAUGAUGUAUGGUUUGAUGUAAUUUUAAUAGUUCUUAAUAAACUGUGUGUAUUAUA
Silurus meridionalis is the source of this 597-nucleotide long non-coding RNA. RefSeq lists it as uncharacterized. Lineage: Eukaryota; Metazoa; Chordata; Actinopteri; Siluriformes; Siluridae. The record is from RefSeq and is a predicted model, not a curated record. The transcript is spliced from 3 exons.